Molecule: ribosomal RNA, 376 nt
Filed under: uncultured bacterium
Lineage: Bacteria
Description: bacterial SSU rRNA
Rfam family: Bacterial small subunit ribosomal RNA
Source: RNAcentral
GACAGAGGCCUCAAGCGUUAGGCGGAAUCACUGGGCUUAAAGCGUGUGUAGGCGGAUCGUUAAGUGUCUUGUGAAAUCCCACGGCUCACCCGUGGAACUGCUGGGCAUACUGGCGAUCUUGGGCCAACUAGGGGCAACUGGAACAAGCGGUGGAGCGGUGAAAUGCGUAGAUAUCGCUUGGAACGCCAAAGGUGAAAACAGGUUGCUGGGGUUGUGCCGACGCUGAGACACGAAAGCCAGGGGAGCAAACGGGAUUAGAUACCCCGGUAGUCCUGGCCCUAAACGAUGUCCACUAGAUUGCGGCGGGUUUGACCCCGUCGCGGUCGAAGCAAAAGUGUUAAGUGGACCGCCUGGGAAGUACGGUCGCAAGGCUAAA